Molecule: ribosomal RNA, 480 nt
Filed under: uncultured bacterium
Lineage: Bacteria
Description: partial 16S ribosomal RNA
Rfam family: Bacterial small subunit ribosomal RNA
Source: RNAcentral
GAUGAACGCUGGCGGCGUGCUUAACACAUGCAAGUCGAACGAAGCAUUUAGGACAGAUUCCUUCGGUUUGAAGUUCUUUAUGACUGAGUGGCGGACGGGUGAGUAACGCGUGGGUAACCUGCCUUGUACUGGGGGAUAGCAGCUGGAAACGGCUGGUAAUACCGCAUAAGCGCACAAUGUUGCAUGACAUGGUGUGAAAAACUCCGGUGGUAUAAGAUGGACCGCGUCUGAUUAGCUAGUUGGUGAGAUAACAGCCCACCAAGGCGACGAUCAGUAGCCGACCUGAGAGGGUGACCGGCCACAUUGGGACUGAGACACGGCCCAGACUCCUACGGGAGGCAGCAGUGGGGAAUAUUGCACAAUGGAGGAAACUCUGAUGCAGCGACGCCGCGUGAGUGAAGAAGUAAUUCGUUAUGUAAAGCUCUAUCAGCAGGGAAGAUAGUGACGGUACCUGACGAAGAAGCUCCGGCUAAAUACGUG